GAUGGAUCAGUGGCGAACGGGUGAGUAACACGUGGGCAACCUGCCCCUGACUUUGGGAUAACGCUUCGAAAGAGGUGCUAAUACCGGAUAUGAGCUCCCUUGGCAUCUUGGGGGCUGGAAAGUUUUUCGGUCAGGGAUGGGCCCGCGGCCUAUCAGCUAGUUGGUGAGGUAAUGGCUCACCAAGGCGACGACGGGUAGCCGGCCUGAGAGGGUGACCGGCCACGCUGGGACUGAGACACGGCCCAGACUCC
This 251-nucleotide ribosomal RNA is filed under the name uncultured bacterium. Its description in RNAcentral is "partial 16S ribosomal RNA". It matches the Rfam family "Bacterial small subunit ribosomal RNA", at positions 86 to 339 of the family's 1533-position model. The record is from RNAcentral.